This 873-nucleotide long non-coding RNA is filed under the name Homo sapiens (human). Its description in RNAcentral is "long non-coding RNA NONHSAT161904.1". The record is from RNAcentral. Lineage: Eukaryota; Metazoa; Chordata; Mammalia; Primates; Hominidae.
CCUCCUCGGCCUCACCAUUCCAGACCAAAAUUGAAAAAAUGGUUGACCUCACCCAGGUAAUGGAUGAUGAAGUAUUCAUGGCUUUUGCAUCCUAUGCAACAAUUAUUCUUUCAAAAAUGAUGCUUAUGAGUACUGCAACUGCAUUCUAUAGAUUGACAAGAAAGGUUUUUGCCAAUCCAGAAGACUGUGUAGCAUUUGGCAAAGGAGAAAAUGCCAAGAAGUAUCUUCGAACAGAUGACAGAUUAUCUUUUUCCACAGAGCCCACCUGAAUGACCUUGAAAAUAUUAUUCCAUUUCUUGGAAUUGGCCUCCUGUAUUCCUUGAGUGGUCCCGACCCCUCUACAGCCAUCCUGCACUUCAGACUAUUUGUCGGAGCACGGAUCUACCACACCAUUGCAUAUUUGACACCCCUUCCCCAGCCAAAUAGAGCUUUGAGUUUUUUUGUUGGAUAUGGAGUUACUCUUUCCAUGGCUUACAGGUUGCUGAAAAGUAAAUUGUACCUGUAAAGAAAAUCAUACAACUCAGCAUCCAGUUGGCUUUUUAAGAAUUCUGUACUUCCAAUUUAUAAUGAAUACUUUCUUAGAUUUUAGGUAGGAGGGGAGCAGAGGAAUUAUGAACUGGGGUAAACCCAUUUUGAAUAUUAGCAUUGCCAAUAUCCUGUAUUCUUGUUUUACAUUUGGAUUAGAAAUUUAACAUAGUAAUUCUUAAGUCUUUUGUCUGAUUUUUAAAGUACUUUCUUAUAAAUUUGGAUCAUGUUAUGAUUUGUAACAUUCACACAACACCUCACUUUUGAAUCUAUAAAAGAAUUGCACGUAUGAGAAACCUAUAUUUCAAUACUGCUGAAACAGACAUGAAAUAAAGAAUUUAAAGAAUG